UAGCCAAGAUUUCUAUCCAUAAAUCUGUGAGUGGAUAAAACUUAUUUUUUAGAAAUAAGCCUUCUUUUAAUUUUAAAGUUAUUUAUUUUAUAAAGUUGACUUCAUAGCAUGAUUUUCAGAAUAAAAUGGAUUUUAUUAUCAAUUGAUUUUAAAGUUAAAUUCAGUUCAGUUAAAUUAUUUUAGUAGCAUGUAUUAUAUUCUUAUUACAUGUUUCAGUAUAGUUAAAGUUAUUUCUAAAAACCACCAGAAAGUACUCAGGUGAUUUUACCCCAGUUUGCACUGAUGUGAAUGUGUUUCCACAGUGUAUGACUAGUUAUGGUGAUUUUACCCGCUCUGCACUAUCGUGAAUGUGUUUCCAUAGUGUAUGACCAGAUUAUCAGAGGUCUUUGGGACCCACUCUCGUACACACAUAGGUUUUGGGCCGUGUACUAGGGUGAUUAGCCUUUGGGGCAGCUCUGCGUACGUAUGACCAGAUUAUUAGAUUAUCAGCUAUCAGAUUAUCAGAUUUGAAUGGCUUUGCCUUGUACAUCGAGAUUACUCUGUACAUGUGUAAAGCUAUUCAUUGUGUACUCUUUAUGGUGUGAUUUUUCAGUACUUAUUCAGUUCUCAGAUUUCAGAUUAUGGAAUUCAGUUAAUUCAGUUUUCAGAAUAAAGCUUUCAGCUUAAAGUAUUGAGCAGCAGCAAUAUUUCAUAGAUUUUCAUGAAUAUCAGAUUCUUUAUAUUUGUUAUACCUUACAAAUACUUUUCUAGAAUUUAGAACGAAGAAUUUUAUAAUGUAAUUAUAUUUAGUUUUUAAAAGUAUUACUAGAUUCAGAAAUUCUCAAGGAUUUAAUAAAGUUAAAAUUUUUAGAAAAUAUGCAUCAAUGGAAAAAGUUUACUUAUUUGCAAAUCAUCCACUCACUGAGUUACAAUAUCAUAUUUUUAUCACCAUUUUUCUUAGCAGAUGGUAGCUACGUUGAGCGACAUUGGAGCCUGUCGAUCUGCGAGUCGAGCCACAUGGUGUAUUUAUUGUGUGUCUAGUCUUGUCAGUACAUACAUUAUAUAUUUUUGGGAUUGAUGCUUUUUUAUCAGAAAAUGUAUUUAUAUCAUGGGUUUGCUGUAUAUUUUUAUAUAUGUUUUGCAAAUGGGGUUACCUGGUUCGAAAGGAGUGUAAAUUUCUUUCCAGUACACUUAUUUUGAACAGAUUGUAUUUCGAGGGACUAGUGUGUCCUAUUUUAAAUUAUAUGUAUGGAUUUGAGAAAAUUGAUUUUUGUUUAGGCGGAUUUAGUUCAUAUUUCAAAGUAAACUUUGUAAAAAUUCUUUUAAAAUAUUUUUCGUUCAAGCAAGUCAAGGUUGCCUUGGUGGUGGGUCCAACAUUUAGUUGGUAUCUACCAUCGGCACACGACACGUGUCGAGUCCAUUAAGGUGAUU
This 1410-nucleotide long non-coding RNA is filed under the name Olea europaea (common olive). RNAcentral's name for it is "long non-coding RNA (OEUR_LNC001402)". Lineage: Eukaryota; Viridiplantae; Streptophyta; Magnoliopsida; Lamiales; Oleaceae. The record is from RNAcentral.